CGCGGCGGAAAUGAAAAGGGAAGUUGGGUGUGAAUCCCACGCAAUCCCGUUGCUGUAUAAGCGGAGCGUUGUUCCAUGCGCCACUGGCAUCUGCCGGGAAGGCGGAACGCCGCGUUGAUGCGAAGCCAGAAGACCUGCCUUAUUCGGUA
RNAcentral lists this non-coding RNA (149 nucleotides) under human gut metagenome. The record is from RNAcentral.